This 337-nucleotide unclassified non-coding RNA is filed under the name soil metagenome. RNAcentral describes it as "partial contains 5.8S ribosomal RNA, internal transcribed spacer 2, and large subunit ribosomal RNA". The stretch from base 1 to 120 matches the Rfam family "5.8S ribosomal RNA", at positions 35 to 154 of the family's 154-position model. The record is from RNAcentral.
GAUGAAGAACGUAGCGAAAUGCGAUAAGUAGUGUGAAUUGCAGAAUUCAGUGAAUCAUCGAAUCUUUGAACGCACAUUGCGCCCCUUGGUAUUCCAUGGGGCAUGCCUGUUCGAGCGUCAUUUGUACCUUCAAGCCUUGCUUGGUGUUGAGUGUUUGUCUCGCCUCUGCGCGCAGACUCGCCUCAAAACAAUUGGCAGCCGGCGUAUUGAUUUCGGAGCGCAGUACAUCUCGCGCUUUGCACUCAGAACGACGACGUCCAAAAGUACAUUUUUACACUCUUGACCUCGGAUCAGGUAGGGAUACCCGCUGAACUUAAGCAUAUCAAUAAGCGGAGGA